UCUGUAUCCCUCUGCCUCAACCCAGCCCUGUCUAUCUGUAUCCCUCUGCCUCAACCCAGCCCUGUCUAUCUGUAUCCCUCUGCCUCAACCCAACCCUGUCUGUCUGUAUCCCUCCACCUCAACCCAGCCCUGUCUGUCUGUAUCCCUCCGCCUCAACCCAGCCCUGUCUGUCUGUAUCCCUCCGCAUAAACCCAACUCUGUCUCUAUGUCCCUCUCCUUAACCCAACCCUGUCUCUAUGUCCCUCUCCUUAACCCAUCCCUGUCUCUAUGUCCCUCCUUAACCCAACCCUGUCUCUAUGUCCCUCUCCUUAACCCAACCCUGUCUCUAUGUCCCUCUCCUUAACCCAACCCUGUCUCUAUGUCCCUCUCCUUAACCCAACCCUGUCUCUAUGUCCCUCUCCUUAACCCAACCCUGUCUCUAUGUCCCUUUCCUUAACCCAACCCUGUCUCUAUGUCCCUCUCCUUAACCCAUCCCUGUCUCUAUGUCCCUCUCCUUAACCCAACCCUGUCUCUAUGUCCCUCUCCUUAACCCAUCCCUGUCUCUAUGUCCCUCUCCUUAACCCAACCCUGUCUCUGUAUCUUUCCUUUGACCCCAAUCCGUAUCCCUCCAACAGUGGGCCCCAGAUCUCCUACUGUGAGAAGUGGGGACAGGGACCUAGUGGGACUGUCCAUAGAGAAAGUGUACAUCUUGACACAUUUCCAUGUAUCUCUAUGUCUUCCUGGGGUGUUUGACAUGUGUCCAGCUCGGGUGAGUUAGAGUAGUAUACUGUCUAUUCUAUUCACCUUGUGCUAAAACUAGACAGACAGAGCCAGGUUGUACAACCGUAAUAACUAUCUCAGUCAAAUGGCCGCCCAUAGAAAUAAAGUUAGUCAAAUUGUAACAAUAUAUAGUAAUUAUAUUUCUAUGGGGACACCCAUCUAGUCAACAACACACCUCCCUCUGUAGAACAGAGCAAAACCCAGCGGUGCUUUUCUGAGACCUACCGUCUACCGAACGGCCAAGCCUCCCCGUGGCAGUUUAGUCCUAGUCCAGCCUACACCUGUCCCCCUUUAGUCAUUCACUUCUCCCCACCAGACCCCUCCCUCUCUGCACCUCCCCCUCUCCUUCACUUUCUCCUCGCCCGUCCACCUUCCUACCGCUUCCUCCUGUCAUUGUCAUGGUUACUUCUUUUUUUUUUGGUUUUCUCUUGGGUUCUUAAUUUCCUUGUUUUUUUUUUUUGUUUUUUUUUUGCUGUACAAAGUGUUUAAAAUAUUAUUAUUUGUAUUAUAUGAUGUUAGUAUGGUAAUGUUCUUUAUUAAGGAAGAAGAAAAAUUUAUUUUUGUUACUGGUCUGUUUCAUAAUUCUUUUUUAAAUUGGUAUUGUAAGAUAUCUAUGCAAGAACUGUUCAGUGGAG
Esox lucius (northern pike) is the source of this 1394-nucleotide long non-coding RNA. The record is from Ensembl. NCBI's taxonomy places the organism in Eukaryota, Metazoa, Chordata, Actinopteri, Esociformes, Esocidae.